UAGGGAAUCUUCCGCAAUGGGCGAAAGCCUGACGGAGCAACGCCGCGUGAGUGAUGAAGGUCUUCGGAUCGUAAAACUCUGUUAUUAGGGAAGAACAAAUGUGUAAGUAACUAUGCACGUCUUGACGGUACCUAAUCAGAAAGCCACGGCUAACUACGUGCCAGCAGCCGCGGUAAUACGUAGGUUGCAAGCGUUAUCCGGAAUUAUUGGGCGUAAAGCGCGCGUAGGCGGUUUUUUAAGUAUGAUGUGAAAGCCCACGGCUCAACCGUGGAGGGUCAUUGGAAACUGGAAAACUUGAGUGCAGAAGAGGAAAGUGGAAUUCCAUGUGUAGCGGUGAAAUGCGCAGAGAUAUGGAGGAACACCAGUGGCGAAGGCGACUUUCUGGUCUGUAACUGACGCUGAUGUGCGAAAGCGUGGGGAUCAAACAGG
RNAcentral lists this ribosomal RNA (429 nucleotides) under Actinomycetes bacterium. RNAcentral describes it as "Actinobacteria bacterium partial 16S ribosomal RNA". It matches the Rfam family "Bacterial small subunit ribosomal RNA", at positions 355 to 776 of the family's 1533-position model. The record is from RNAcentral. Lineage: Bacteria; Bacillati; Actinomycetota; Actinomycetes.